Molecule: ribosomal RNA, 406 nt
Filed under: uncultured Parcubacteria group bacterium
Lineage: Bacteria
Description: partial 16S ribosomal RNA
Rfam family: Bacterial small subunit ribosomal RNA
Source: RNAcentral
UCGAGAAUCUUCCGCAAUGGACGAAAGUCUGACGGAGCGACGCCGCGUGGUGGAUGAAGUCCUUAGGGACGUAAACACCUUUUAUGAGGGAGGAAGUUUAUUGACGUUACCUCAUGAAUAAGGGGCUCCCAACUCUGUGCCAGCAGGAGCGGUAAUACAGAGGCCCCAAGCAUUAUCCGGAUUUACUGGGCGUAAAGGGUGCGUAGGCGGUUAUAUUAGUCGGGUGUUAAAUCCCGGGGCUCAACCCCGGAAUCGCAUCCGAAACGGUAUAACUAGAAUAAGUCAGAGGCAAGCAGAACUCAUGGUGUAGGGGUGAAAUCCGUUGAUAUCAUGGGGAAUACCAAAUGCGAAGGCAGCUUGCUGGGACUCUAUUGACGCUGAGGCACGAAAGCGUGGGUAACGAAGC